This 202-nucleotide ribosomal RNA is filed under the name Streptomyces rimosus subsp. rimosus. RNAcentral's name for it is "partial 23S ribosomal RNA". The record is from RNAcentral. Lineage: Bacteria; Bacillati; Actinomycetota; Actinomycetes; Kitasatosporales; Streptomycetaceae.
CCAGGGUAAGUCGGGACCUAAGGCGAGGCCGACAGGCGUAGUCGAUGGACAACCGGUUGAUAUUCCGGUACCCGCUUUGAAGCGCCAAACAUCGAAUCCUCUGAUGCUAAGGCCGUGAAGCCGCCCUGGAGUCUUCGGACAAAGGGGAGUGGUGGAGCCGCUGAUCCAAGGUGGUAGUAGGUGAGUGAUGGGGUGACGCAGG